UACGUAGGGUGCAAGCGUUGUCCGGAAUUAUUGGGCGUAAAGAGCUCGUAGGCGGUCUGUCGCGUCGGCUGUGAAAUCCCGAGGCUCAACCUCGGGUCUGCAGUCGAUACGGGCAAACUGGAGUGUUGCAGGGGAGACUGGAAUUCCUGGUGUAGCGGUGAAAUGCGCAGAUAUCAGGAGGAACACCGGUGGCGAAGGCGGGUCUCUGGGCAACAACUGACGCUGAGGCACGAAAGCGUGGGGAUCAAACAGG
This 253-nucleotide ribosomal RNA is filed under the name uncultured bacterium. RNAcentral's name for it is "partial 16S ribosomal RNA". It matches the Rfam family "Bacterial small subunit ribosomal RNA", at positions 524 to 776 of the family's 1533-position model. The record is from RNAcentral.